CCUACGGGUGGCAGCAGUCGAGAAUCAUUCACAAUGGGCGAAACUCUGAUGGUGCGACGCCGCGUGGGGGAAUGAAGGUCUUCGGAUUGUAAACUCCUUUCAUGUGGGAGCAAAUUAAAAAGAUAGUACCACAAGAGGAAGAGACUGCUAACUCUGUGCCAGCAGCCGCGGUAAUACAGAGGUCUCAAGCGUUGUUCGGAAUCACUGGGCGUAAAGCGUGCGUAGGCUGUUUGGUAAGUCGUGUGUGAAAGGCGCGGGCUCAACCCGCGGACGGCACAUGAUACUUCGAGACUAGAGUAAUGGAGGGGGAAGCGGAAUUCUCGGUGUAGCAGUGAAAUGCGUAGAUAUCGAGAGGAACACUCGUGGCGAAGGCGGGUUCCUGGACAUUAACUGACGCUGAGGCACGAAGGCGAGGGGAGCGAAAGGGAUUAGAUACCCCUGUAGUC
RNAcentral lists this ribosomal RNA (446 nucleotides) under uncultured bacterium. RNAcentral's name for it is "partial 16S ribosomal RNA". It matches the Rfam family "Bacterial small subunit ribosomal RNA", at positions 338 to 795 of the family's 1533-position model. The record is from RNAcentral.